This 1674-nucleotide ribosomal RNA is filed under the name Triticum aestivum (bread wheat). RNAcentral's name for it is "partial small subunit ribosomal RNA". The record is from RNAcentral. Lineage: Eukaryota; Viridiplantae; Streptophyta; Magnoliopsida; Poales; Poaceae.
AUGGCCAUGGACACAUCGCCUCGGCUCUACCGCCGGCUCAGGAAGACAUCCGAUAUCUCCAUCGCCACAACCGUUUCCUCCUCGUCCAAGCGUAUGCGUACGAAGGAGGAACACAGCAGCUGCUGCGAGGACAAGAUCAGCAGCUUACCCGAGGAGAUACUGAUCAUGAUCCUUGACAAGCUAGACGCGCGCACAACAAUAACCACCACUAUCCUUUCAAAGCGGUGGCUGGAUCUUCCUCGGCGGUCACACACAUUUUAUGAUCUUUCCAUUUAUGAUAUUCUCCCUCCACGCUACCACAGGCUGAAGAAAAUAGCUAUGGAGACUAAGGCCAUCUAUGAGGCGGCGAAGAGGACACAGAAUCUGAUUGACAUCUGUGACAAGUACGAUCGGUAUAAUGCCAUCAAAGACCUGAAUGAGCAGUGGAUGUGGAAAGUCCAUCUGCGCACACCCAUCCUGCAACGUUAUGAGCGUCUGGCCAUGCGAUGCUAUGUUAAACGGGUGAACGCAUUCCUUCUGCCUCCCGAUAAUGUUCAGCGACGGUCUUUCCAGAAGCUGAGGCUUCAGACCUUUUGGAGGCCCGGUCUUGAUGAGUGGUUUACGGCAGCGGUUGGCAGAUGGGGGGUUGAAGAUUUAGAGAUUGUCGUCGAGAGCCGUUGCAAGCAAUUUGGAUUCUAUCCGUUAGAUAGAUGCCAGAAUGUGCGGCUGAAACGCCUUCUGCUGUCCAAUUUCUGUCAUUAUUAUGGAACACCCCCAUUGUUUUUUCAGAGGCUCACAACAAUUACUCUGUGCAAGGGAAGUUCACAUCCCCACCUCGUAUACGAUAUUCUGAGAGAUUGCUUGCAGCUGGUGGAUUUGAGGCUGAGGGAUAGUCCGUAUAGCCACGCUCCUUUACACGUCAAUUUUCCUAACUCAAGGUUGAAGAAUCUGCAAGUGGACAACUGUGAUAUUUUUAAAAUCUAUCUGACUUCAGUGCCUUGUCUUGAAACAUUUGCUUGUCGGGGUCAGCCAACCAAACUACGCUACGGUGAGGUGCCUCGGCUUAGGCAUGUGAGUUUGAACUUCUUGGAAACUGGAUAUGCAUAUACUGGUGAGCAUGAUUUGAUUCCUAGAAAAAACACCCAUUCACUAAGCAAAUUCUUUAAAGGGGUGCCGCCACCAGUAGAGGAGUUUUUUCUGCAAUUGAGAGGGCAUCAGAUGUGGCUUAAACCAACCACCAUAAUCAGCCGGCUUACCAAUCUGAAGAAGUUAUUCAUUGCGAACGUGCCAGUGGACUGGGAUACGUUCUGGAUAUUCAUCCUAUUUGCUGCCGCACCUUACUUGCAGUCGCUCCAUGUUCAUUUUGACAAUAACUUGGAGAAGGUGAGUGCUGCUGGAUCACUAGACGUGCAGGUCGAGCAACCACAGCACCAUCACCUCAGAGAACUCGUGGUCAUCGGCUUCGAUGGAGUUGCGUGGCAGACCGGCUUUGUGAAGCGGAUCAUGAGGGCGUCGCGGAGGCUGGGGCGUGUCCAUUUGCUUGACGGGCAUGUCGUGGAGGACGAGGAGCAGGAGCUCGUCGGACUGGAGAUUCUCCCGCACCGGCGGGAGUGGCAUGAGUGCGAGAGGUUGGAGGUGCUCGAAGAACUCACGGAUGGCACUGGCUUCCCAGUUCACAAGAUAGUUUUGGAGUGA